GUAGGGAAUAUUGCACAAUGGGGGCAACCCUGAUCCAGCGACGCCGCGUGAGUGAUGAAGGCCUUCGGGUCGUAAAGCUCUGUUGCAGGGGAAGAACACAAUGACGGUACCCUGCUAGAAAGGAUCGGCUAACUUCGUGCCAGCAGCCGCGGUAAGACGAGGGAUCCUAGCGUUGUUCGGAAUUAUUGGGCGUAAAGCGGGUGCAGGUGGCUUGGUAAGUCAGAUGUGAAAGCCUGGGGCUUAACCCCAGAAGUGCAUUUGAUACUGCUGAGCUUGAGUGCUGGAGAGGCUAUUAGAAUUCCUGGUGUAGUGGUGAAAUACGUAGAUAUCAGGAGGAAUACCGGAGGCGAAGGCGGAUAGCUGGCCAGACACUGACACUCAGACCCGAAAGCGUGGGGAACAAACAGGAUUAGAUACCCUGGUAGUCC
This 428-nucleotide ribosomal RNA is filed under the name uncultured bacterium. RNAcentral's name for it is "partial 16S ribosomal RNA". It matches the Rfam family "Bacterial small subunit ribosomal RNA", at positions 354 to 796 of the family's 1533-position model. The record is from RNAcentral.